Molecule: long non-coding RNA, 165 nt
Organism: Populus nigra (black poplar)
Lineage: Eukaryota; Viridiplantae; Streptophyta; Magnoliopsida; Malpighiales; Salicaceae
Exons: 2
Source: RefSeq, a predicted model, not a curated record
CCUCUGGAAGUUCUUUUCUUUUAAAAACAUGGUAUGCUAAAGUAACAGGUGAGCUUCUGUGAAUUCAUCGACGAUGAAAGGAGAGCAUUUUGAGUAACAGAACAAUUAAAAUUCAGGUUGCUAGCCUAGCCAGCCAGAUGAACAGAUUGCAGAGCUGAACAGGAA